RNAcentral lists this ribosomal RNA (497 nucleotides) under uncultured bacterium. Its description in RNAcentral is "partial 16S ribosomal RNA". It matches the Rfam family "Bacterial small subunit ribosomal RNA", at positions 28 to 507 of the family's 1533-position model. The record is from RNAcentral.
GAUGAACGCUGGCGGCGUGCCUAAUACAUGCAAGUCGAGCGAACGGACGAGAAGCUUGCUCCUCUGAUGUUAGCGGCGGACGGGUGAGUAACACGUGGAUAACCUACCUAUAAGACUGGGAUAACUUUGGGAAACCGGAGCUAAUACCGGAUAAUAUUUUGAACCGCAUUGUUCAAAAGUUAAAGACGGUCUUGCUGUCACUUAUAGAUGGAUCCGCGCUGCAUUAGCUAGUUGGUAAGGUAACGGCUUACCAAGGCAACGAUGCAUAGCCGACCUGAGAGGGUGAUCGCACACCCGGGAACUGAGGCACGGUCCAGACUCCUACGGGAGGCAGCAGUAGGGAAUCUUACGCGAUGGACGAAAGCCUGACAGAGCAACGCCGCGUGAGUGAUGAAGGUCUUCGGAUCGUAAAACUCUGUUAUUAGGGAAGAACAAAUGUGUAAGUAACUGUGCACAUCUUGACGGUACCUAAUCAGAAAGCCACGGCUAACUACGUG